CGUAUACAAAUAAAAUUGUAGAAAAUUUGAACCACUUUUAAUACUGCACACUGGCCGUAUUUUUUAAGAGAUAGAUAGUGUGUUACCUCUGCUUCGUUUAUUUUAUUUAGAAUUAAACUUAAGUUAGAAAUGUGAAUCAACUAGAAUUCGAACUUGAAAUCUCGGGUACCAGCAACCAAAUUUUUUGUCACUUACGUUAGGAACAGUCGGUCUUUUAAACAAACUUAAAUGUUAACUUAAACAACACAUUUUA
This 253-nucleotide long non-coding RNA is filed under the name Ananas comosus (pineapple). Its description in RNAcentral is "long non-coding RNA (ACOM_LNC024915)". Lineage: Eukaryota; Viridiplantae; Streptophyta; Magnoliopsida; Poales; Bromeliaceae. The record is from RNAcentral.